GAGUUUGAUCAUGGCUCAGAUUGAACGCUGGCGGCAUGCCUAACACAUGCAAGUCGAACGGUAACGACGGGAGCUUGCUCCCGGGCGACGAGUGGCGGACGGGUGAGUAAUACUUAGGAAUCUGCCCAGUAGUGGGGGACAACCAGGAGAAAUCCUGGCUAAUACCGCAUACGCCCUACGGGGGAAAGCGGGGGAUCUUCGGACCUCGCGCUAUUGGACGAGCCUAAGUCGGAUUAGCUUGUUGGUGAGGUAAUAGCUCACCAAGGCGACGAUCCGUAGCUGGUCUGAGAGGACGAUCAGCCACACUGGGACUGAGACACGGCCCAGACUCCUACGGGAGGCAGCAGUGGGGAAUAUUGGACAAUGGGCGCAAGCCUGAUCCAGCAAUGCCGCGUGUGUGAAGAAGGCCUGCGGGUUGUAAAGCACUUUCAGUAGAGAAGAAAAGCCUAGGGUUGAUACCCCUGAGUCUUGACGUAACCUACAGAAGAAGCACCGGCUAACUCCGUGCCAGCAGCCGCGGUAAUACGGAGGGUGCGAGCGUUAAUCGGAAUUACUGGGCGUA
RNAcentral lists this ribosomal RNA (562 nucleotides) under uncultured Pseudomonas sp. RNAcentral's name for it is "bacterial SSU rRNA". It matches the Rfam family "Bacterial small subunit ribosomal RNA", at positions 9 to 562 of the family's 1533-position model. The record is from RNAcentral. Lineage: Bacteria; Pseudomonadati; Pseudomonadota; Gammaproteobacteria; Pseudomonadales; Pseudomonadaceae.